GGCAGCCAUUGUUGAUGUUUGCAUUGCUUGCUGGGGCCAGGAGAAUUCCACGAUUACAGCUCAAAUAGAAGAUAAUUACUGUCCCUGAGAGUGAGUGAGGCAGGAUGAGUCUGAUGGAUGCUUAGGCUGAGAGUCACGCCGCAGGGUCAGUGAGGGGUACGGCCGGCAGUAUGGUGACUUUUACGGCGGCGGCAGGUCAUCACAGGAGUACUCAUGUGACAGAAGCAGCAGUGGGGGGCGGUCACAGGGGAGAGGGCUGAUGUCGAAG
Molecule: long non-coding RNA, 268 nt
Organism: Scylla paramamosain (green mud crab)
Lineage: Eukaryota; Metazoa; Arthropoda; Malacostraca; Decapoda; Portunidae
Exons: 3
Source: RefSeq, a predicted model, not a curated record